Molecule: non-coding RNA, 68 nt
Organism: Struthio camelus australis
Lineage: Eukaryota; Metazoa; Chordata; Aves; Struthioniformes; Struthionidae
Source: Ensembl
GUUUCUAUAGUUGAAAACAACGACAGUUUUUCAGACUGUAGGUCUCGGGUAAUAUCCGAGUAGAAAUU